CCUACGGGAGGCAGCAGUGAGGAAUAUUGGUCAAUGGGCGCGAGCCUGAACCAGCCAAGUAGCGUGAAGGAUGACUGCCCUACGGGUUGUCAACUUCUUUUAUAAAGGAAUAAAGUGGGGCACGUGUGCCUUUUUGUAUGUACUUUAUGACUCAGGCUCGGCUAACUCCGUGCCAGCAGCCGCGGUAAUACGUAGGAUCCGAGCGUUAUCAGGAUUUAUUGGGUUUAAAGGGAGCGUAGAUGGGUUGUUAAGUCAGUUGUGAACGUUGGCGUCUCAACCGUAAAAGUGAAAUUGAGACUGGCAGCCUUGAUGACAGUUGAGGUAGGUGGAAUUCGUGGUGUAGCGGUGAAAUGCUUA
RNAcentral lists this ribosomal RNA (357 nucleotides) under uncultured bacterium. RNAcentral's name for it is "partial 16S ribosomal RNA". It matches the Rfam family "Bacterial small subunit ribosomal RNA", at positions 338 to 692 of the family's 1533-position model. The record is from RNAcentral.